UAAAACACAAAAACAAAGUUACAGAAGAAAAACAUAAGAUCAAACUCUCAACAAACACAUUCUGAUCACACUCAUACAACACUAAAUCCCAAGCUUUGAAGAACGCAUGGGAAAUCCUUAUUUAAUGCUAAGUGCCAAGACGGAUCCAGCGAGCAUCAAGGGGUUGAUGGAUGAGAUGUCUGGGUGGAAGUUUGAGUUGCACGGUGACGAUUGUUGUUGAGCCACACCACGAAGAUCUUGCGGCUUAUGCCCAUGUCAGUGCAGAAACGUUGAAUCUCCUCUCUGUUACCCUUGUGAGGUUUCCAGCCCAAAAUAUCAGCAAACCUUCUCAUUUGGUUCUUCUGCUCCACCGAGAAGGUCGUCCUCUUCCUCCUCAGUGGCCUUACUUGCUGCAAUGGCUCUGGGUUGCUGUUGCUGUUGUUGGUAGGCCUUUCUGCCUGAAGCGUGCCUGAAAAAGGAACUAUAUCAAGAACAUAAUCACUCUGUGUUUCAGUUUGCUGCAGGGGAUUGUAUUUGCGGUGAAAGUUGCGGUGACAACCACAACAUGCACAGAGGAAACUGUCCUGGGAGUUUCGCUCAGCGUCUGGUUUCAUAUACUCAUUGCAUCCAUCAUAGCAAGCUCCUCCCAUGGCUACUGCAUGGUUGCGACGACACUCCAUGUACCCAACAUCUUCCUCAUCGCUUUCUUCUACUUGGUUGGUGAAACUGCUGGUAUUGAUGCUUGACAUGGCGAUGGUGAUUUUUGU
RNAcentral lists this long non-coding RNA (746 nucleotides) under Vigna radiata. Its description in RNAcentral is "long non-coding RNA (VRAD_LNC010776)". The record is from RNAcentral. Lineage: Eukaryota; Viridiplantae; Streptophyta; Magnoliopsida; Fabales; Fabaceae.